UACGAAGGGGACUAGCGUUGUUCGGAAUCACUGGGCGUAAAAAGCUCGUAGGCGGCUUGUCGCGUCGACCGUGAAAACUUGGGGCUCAACCCCAAGCCUGCGGUCGAUACGGGCAGGCUCGAGUUCGGUAGGGGAGACUGGAAUUCCCGGUGUAGAGGUGAAAUUCGUAGAUAUCGGGAGGAACACCAGUGGCGAAGGCGGCGAUCUGGGAAGAUACUGACGCUGAGGUGCGAAAGCGUGGGGAGCAAACAGG
Molecule: ribosomal RNA, 253 nt
Filed under: uncultured bacterium
Lineage: Bacteria
Description: partial 16S ribosomal RNA
Rfam family: Bacterial small subunit ribosomal RNA
Source: RNAcentral